CUGUUUAGGCAGACCUCGAAUGAGAAAAAAAAUCCCAAUCGAACGCUGGCCGCGGUAGGGCGAGAGGACGAUGACGAGCCCCGGUCGCCGUGACGGCCCUUCGCGCAGUCAGUGCGGGCGCUAGGGUUUGGUGCCCCGCCUUCGGCCAGAUGAGCGGGCGCUGCGGCGUUGCCCCCAUGGUGUCACAGUCAUCGUCGGCGAGAUGGCCCUGCCAUUCGUGUUCUGGAGCUGGUGGCUGAGGGGGAGGGGGGAGGGGGACGAAGGCGAGACGUUGCUGCAGCGGCAUGCCCCAUCGCCGUGACGGCCCUGCGCGCCGCCGAGUUGGAGUUCCACUAAGGUACUAGCUUCGUACAGAUCUCACUUGUCGAUUGAUUUGAUUUGCCGCAUUGGAUAAUAUUUGGGUCUGUAAUUUGGGUUUGUAGUCGUUGAAAUUGCACAUCUAUAGAAGCUGAAAUCAUUGUUAUUAUUAUGGUGAGGAAUCAUGAUACAAGUUGUUUUUCUGGUCGGCGGCUGUGGUCGGCGGCUAAAUGUCCCCGCCGUUCGUGUUCCCCUCCUAAGCUGCAGGAUGUGGAGUGGGUCGCCGAGGGGGAGGACUAAGGCGAGACAUUGCUAGCAUGCCCCGUCACCGUCAAGGCCCUACACGCCGACCAGUGUCGUACAGAUCUGUCGUGGCUGAUGCAGGCACCGCCACUUGCUAGCUGUGUCUGUACCAAGGCUUAUUCUGAAAUUGGACCGAGGCUUAUUCUGAAAUCGCCGGAUACAAGACCAACCCCAAACACGACCGUGCUGCGGUGAUAGUUCAGCCCCACAAAUGGAACAAACGGCAACCUAUAUUUGUUUGACCGGAAGGCCUCUGCACCCCCUCCCGACAAUUGACACGCUGCAUCUCACCUGGCCACCCUGCAUCCCCUUCUGAGAUUGCUUCUCCCAUUGAGAGUGAAACUGUUCUAUGAAAUUUGAGAUGUAUAUACAUUCAGAUGAAUGCAGUUUCAUCCAUUGCUGAAAGAAAUGUGAUAUCCAAUUUCAGGUUUUCUGAAGCCACGAUCAGCUAGGGAUUGGAUAGCAGAAGCAUGGCGUGUAUAAGAUCUGAACAUUGAAGACAUGCAAUGCAGCUCAAUGGGAUGGAGCUCUCGGCGAUGUGGAGCUCAAUGUCUUUCAGGCACAGACUCCAUGCCCAUCGAGUUGCAUUUGUGAUCAGCCAACACACUGUAAAACUGAUAAACUUGUGCUCGAUCGCCUCCAAGAAGUAGAAAUUAGUGAAUUAUCAGGAACUGAACAUGAACGUGAUUUUGUGCAACGGUUAUUCAGUUGGGCAACAACCUUAAAAAAGUUGACAAUAUCUUUUCAUCACUCGAUCACGAAAGCAAGGCCAAGGGGUUGUUCCAGAUGUUAUGAAGCUUGUCCACAUUGGAACUACAUAUUGAAUUUUAUGUGCACCGCUGCUUGGUGGGGAAAGUUCUAUAUGUUCCUGGAGAUUAAAACACUGAUUUGUCAAUUCUCUUCGCAAGAUUCUGGUUUGUGUGGUCCUGUUGUUCGCAUGCUCGGGAGUCAGGAGUGGUGACGAAUUCAUGUUGUGACAAUAUGUCGAUGCUGUUGAGACUGUCUUUCUAGGACGUGUGUUUACCUCUGUAAUCUGUAUGAAACUAUGGAUUCUAAUUAAUUUGCUAAAAUAGUAGCUGCUUACCCUGAUUUCUAAUAGCAUUUGUUAGGUGGGGCGCAUUGUUGUUUAUUAGUUAAAUGGUGAUUUCUGCUGAAUUUCUGUUAUUGUAAUGGUAUAUGUGACUAAGUUCAU
Molecule: long non-coding RNA, 1792 nt
Organism: Triticum aestivum (bread wheat)
Lineage: Eukaryota; Viridiplantae; Streptophyta; Magnoliopsida; Poales; Poaceae
Exons: 5
Source: RefSeq, a predicted model, not a curated record